Molecule: small RNA, 603 nt
Filed under: Pongo abelii (Sumatran orangutan)
Lineage: Eukaryota; Metazoa; Chordata; Mammalia; Primates; Hominidae
Description: retained intron
Source: RNAcentral
CUUGUGGAGUACAAUCUGUCUUGGAGCAUCAGUGUAUUGAAUUUCCCAGACACUGGAUUCCUUGACCCACAGAGAAGUGCUUCCCCUGAAGCUGUGCUCUCUUAAUCUUCUGGGCCUAUCUGUAGGCAUCUGGCAGGAGAAGUGGCUAAGGAGUGGCAGGAGCUGGAUGACGCAGAGAAGGUCCAGCGGGAGCCUCUGCUCACUCUAGUGAAGGAAAUCAUCCCCUAUAACAUGGCCCACAAUGCAGAGCAUGAGGCUUGCGACCUGCUUAUGGAAAUUGAGCAGGUGGACAUGCUGGAGAAGGACAUUGAUGAAAAUGCAUACGCAAAGGUCUGCCUUUAUCUCACCAGUUGUGUGAAUUAUGUGCCUGAGCCUGAGAACUCAGCCCUACUGCGUUGUGCCCUGGGUGUGUUCCGGAAGUUUAGCCGCUUCCCUGAAGCUCUGAGAUUGGCAUUGAUGCUCAAUGACAUGGAGUUGGUAGAAGACAUCUUCACCUCCUGCAAGGAUGUGGUAGUACAGAAACAGAUGGCAUUCAUGCUAGGCCGGCAUGGGGUGUUCCUGGAGCUGAGUGAAGAUGUCGAGGAGUAUGAGGACCUGACAGAG